Leopardus geoffroyi (Geoffroy's cat) is the source of this 1622-nucleotide long non-coding RNA. RefSeq lists it as uncharacterized. Lineage: Eukaryota; Metazoa; Chordata; Mammalia; Carnivora; Felidae. The record is from RefSeq and is a predicted model, not a curated record. The transcript has 3 exons.
GACUCGUUCUCGUUCUUUCUCUCUCUCAAAAUAAAUAAAUGAAAACUUAAAAAAAAAAUAAAGACAGAACGUGAAAACAGCUGUUACAAGGAAAGCACCUACAACCCUACCUUCUCCAUGCUUUUUCUCACUACUUCUGGGAUAUUGUGCUUCUAAUAGUAUCUGUUACCAAGUUUUGUCCAUUCUUUCUUCUCAGUAUCUAUCAUUUUAGCACACCAGAAUUCUCAUAAUCAUCUCUAACUAGUCUUUUGUAUUUUAUUUUUUUCUUUCCUCUAAAUUAGCUUGGUACUUUGCUGUAUGAUUAAUAUAAAUAUUUUUAAAGCUUCUUCACAAUAAAGGUCCUGUUCAAAAUAGAGAUUUGCUGUUGUCCAUCAAUUCAAAUUCACUUGGAAGGACAUGUGUCUUGAUUGUUGCUUUUUAAUCUCUUCAUUUCAAAUUGCUGCUCCUGGAUCCCCCUGUGACCAUGUCUGGCCCUUCAAAAUGGAGAACUUAUAUGCAUAAAAGGUCAUCUGCCUGAAUAAACUACUGUAAAGAAAAGCCAAAGGAAAAUACUCUUGCCACGUAACUGGACACACAAAUAAAUAUCUUGCUCAAAAGGAAUUAUUUUUUUCUGCUCAUAGGCUCUGAGCCCAUUACCAUAGCAACCACAACUUGUGUUGUCUAACUGGAUGUGAUUUUUAUACACUGUUAUUUGAAAUGUUAAGGCAGUAAGUGAAGAUAAAGUUCAAUUUCUAUAAUAUUUUGGAAGGACUUAUCUCAAAAAUCUUGUAGAGGAAAAGUUUCAUUGUGCAGCCUACUCAUUUGUUUAAUGAAACAGUUUAUUCAACACUGACCAUCGGCACAGCGUGUGCUAAGCAUGUUAGAGAAGUGAAAAGCAUAAAGAACACUUAACCUGGAGGAACUUCUCUAAUAAAAUCAGCUUGUCAUGGGUAAACAGAAUGCCUGAAAGAACAGUUUUUUCAUAGGGAGUUAUCUAAUUUUAGAAUAAUCUGAUCAUCAUAAUUAGAGUAGUCUAUUAGGACCUGUAAGUAAGACAGCUAGAGGCUUGUUACAGCUGGUCAGAUUGCCCACAAGAUUUUCAAAUAUCUAUUGUAACCCCUACAGCAGGUACCUUUCCUUUUGGUCUUACAAAUGUGUUUGUAGCUACUCUCUGGAGAGGUGAGUGUUUCCUUCAUUGGAAGUUGAACACUUCUUGGCAGCUGGUACUGGCCUGAGGAAGCUGAAAAUGCCCACUGAUGAACAUGGAAGAAAAGUGUGAUGGUUCACCUGUUUCAGGUUGCUGAGAAAAUGGCUGUCCUGGCUGUGCUGCCACGGGCUGAGUGAUCACUGAGAGUGAGGACACAAAGGCCACAUGAUGAACAGGAAAUGCAAACCUUUCAACUGGUUGGGCAGUCACCUGUAAAUUAACGGUCAUGAGUGAUGAAGUGGUUUUCACAUGAUAAAUUACAGUCAGUAGCAAAUUCAUCUUAGGCUAAGUGUAGUAUGUAAUAAUAAGCGUAAAAAUAUGCUUAAUAUGUGAAAUUAAUUUUCUUAAAAUAUUUCCCCCUGAUCAAAUUCAUGAAGCACUGUUAUAAAUAUUCAAAGAAAAUCACAUUUUAUACCAAUAAAUAAUUUUUAGAAGA